RNAcentral lists this long non-coding RNA (1772 nucleotides) under Homo sapiens (human). RNAcentral's name for it is "HSALNT0317449". Lineage: Eukaryota; Metazoa; Chordata; Mammalia; Primates; Hominidae. The record is from RNAcentral.
GAACAAAGCCGACCUCCUCGCCCCGCCCCCUCCGUCCCGCCCGGGCUGCUCGCCCCGCCCCCGCGCGGCGCUGGGAGGCGGGAGCUGUCUCUGAGAACCUGCGGGAGAGCGCCCGGGCUUGCUGCUUCCCGGACCCGCGCGUCUCUCGAGCACCCUCGUCCCACCACCUUGUGAGGCCGUAGUGUUAUUUUUAUUUUUUAGAUCAGCAGACUGAGACUCGAGGUGACGUCACUCCGCAGAGAGGUUAGCUGACUUGAAGAAAACGGGUAUCUCCUCUUUCCAUUUCGCCCGUGUAAACAGCCGAACUGCCUAUUAUAAAAGCAUGGACUGCCAGCAUUGGAGUGGUCCUUAGAGGCCUAUUAUGAAAUCAUAGAAUGUCUGCAUUGGAAUCGCCUCACCUCCUUUUACCGCUGGAGAAGCCGACGGACAGACGGGCAGCGACCCCCGCCGUCGCACAACCCGUCUAGGCAGAGAGCGCAGGAGACGGGAGGGCGGCAGGGACACAUCUCCCAGCCAAGGACCUCCUGGGCCCGCAGAGGCCGCGACAGGUUCCCCCCACAGAGGGAACCAACUCUGCCGCAGGUUGAUGUGGACUUCAAGCCUGCAGAACGGAGAGCCCAUUUCCAUUGCUUAAAGCCACCUCGUGUGUGGUAUUUGUUAUGGUCCCUGUACACUCCCUUCCCUCCCUCUCCCAAGUCCAGUCCGCAGCUCGCUCAUCACCAGGCUCUUUUCCAUGACUCUUUCUUGAUCAGGCCUUUUUAUCGUCCUCACCACAGGUUAGAGCACAGCAGACUGAGCCACCCAGAACUGGCCCCUCCGGUGGACCAGCCCCUGCGGAUUCACAGACCACUGGUCCUGGAAGGGACCUUGUCAAGCAGGCCCAUAAGGUAAUCCCUCCCCGGAAAGAGAAGAUCACAGAUUUUGUCAUAUUAAAUACAUUGUAGAAAUUCAUGGUAGCAGGGGCAAGAUCAUUUAAACAAAACAGAAAGUUUCAGAGAGAGAAAAAGCCAAGGACAAAGAUUAAUCAUUUUUCUGCUUAAAAAAAAUGGCUUUGAUUUGCAACCAUGGAAUGCUCCACUGUUUCUCUUCUCUUCAAAGACAUCUACUGAAAGGAUUCCUUAACCUUACCAAGUGGCCAAAAUACUUUUCUGAGAAGAGUCACAGAGCAUAGGCCCCCCUAGGGUACACAGAGAUUUCAUUAGUCCCUAGAUGUUUCCUGAUCCUUUUAAAAACUGGUUAAAUUCAGAGACUCUAGGCAAUUACUUCUUUCAGAACCUGUGAGGCAAAAACGAAAGAAGAAGGCAGGACACGCAGUGUAACAAACCUUGGAAUGGACUUCGCCAGACUUCAUCAGAAGAAAGCAGUGCAAGAGGGGACUGCAGAGGAAAGCUGGGGCUUGGGAAACCAGCAGCAGGGGCCACGUGGGCAGGUGGUUUCUGUGUGAACCUCUGAUCUGUGCAACAUAAACAGGAAAUGUUGAAGGCUUCCAGUGCUCUUUUUUGAUGUCGAGAACAUUCUACGGCACAAAAGAGUUUGCCUCUCACUGUUUCUCAUAUAUGGAGGUUUUCUAAUCAGCAUCCUGAACAGAAUUGAAUUAAAAAUAAAAACCAAAGUAAAACUAGCUUUAUCUCUAGAUUUUAAAAUUUUCAUUUUUUUUAGGGUGGCACCUAUACUGUUACCUUGUAGGUACCAACUAGAAUAUUCUUUCUAACUGCCUGUCAUUCAUGGUUUACCUACUUGGAAGCUUAACCCUGUCCAAGACUGGACCCUAG